CAGUCGCCGCGGUAAUACGAAGGGGGCUAGCGUUGUUCGGAUUUACUGGGCGUAAAGGGCGCGUAGGCGGGCGAUUAAGUCAGAGGUGAAAUCCCAAGGCUCAACCUUGGAACUGCCUUUGAUACUGGUUGUCUUGAGUCCGGGAGAGGUGAGUGGAACUGCGAGUGUAGAGGUGAAAUUCGUAGAUAUUCGCAAGAACACCAGUGGCGAAGGCGGCUCACUGGCCCGGAACUGACGCUGAGGCGCGAAAGCGUGGGGAGCAAACAGGAUUAGAUACCCCCGUAGUCCCUGUCUCUUAUAC
Molecule: ribosomal RNA, 301 nt
Filed under: uncultured bacterium
Lineage: Bacteria
Description: partial 16S ribosomal RNA
Rfam family: Bacterial small subunit ribosomal RNA
Source: RNAcentral